UAAGGGAACCAGAAAAUCCCAUGGAUACAUACGCUGUGAAGGUGCUUACAGCGGAUGGGCUUUCGCUGGGACAUAUUCCAAAAGAGCUUUCGCGUUAUUUGUCUCCUCUCAUGGACAAAGGCGUGGUAGACGUUCAGGGAUAUGUCUCCGAGAGUACAUCGGAAGCUGCA
Molecule: long non-coding RNA, 170 nt
Organism: Selaginella moellendorffii
Lineage: Eukaryota; Viridiplantae; Streptophyta; Lycopodiopsida; Selaginellales; Selaginellaceae
Exons: 3
Source: RefSeq, a predicted model, not a curated record